MicroRNA precursor from Monodelphis domestica (gray short-tailed opossum), 87 nucleotides. Lineage: Eukaryota; Metazoa; Chordata; Mammalia; Didelphimorphia; Didelphidae. The record is from Ensembl.
GAUUUUGGGCAAGUCAGUUCACCACUGUCUGCCUAAGCUUCCUGAGAGGCAGCGUGGUGUAGUGGAUAGAGUGCUGGACUCGGAGUC